GACGAACGCUGGCGGCGUGCUUAACACAUGCAAGUCGAACGGAAAGGCCCUGCUUGCCGGGUGCUCGAGUGGCGAACGGGUGAGUAACACGUGGGUGAUCUGCCCCUUACUUUGGGAUAAGCCUGGGAAACUGGGUCUAAUACUGGAUAGGACCAUGCUGUAGGUGGUGUGGUGGAAAGAUUAGUUUCGGUAAGGGAUGAGCUCGCGGCCUAUCAGCUUGUUGGUGGGGUAAUGGCCUACCAAGGCGUCGACGGGUAGCCGGCCUGAGAGGGUGGACGGCCACAUUGGGACUGAGAUACGGCCCAGACUCCUACGGGAGGCAGCAGUGGGGAAUAUUGCACAAUGGGCGCAAGCCUGAUGCAGCGACGCCGCGUGGAGGAUGACGGCCUUCGGGUUGUAAACUCCUUUCAGCCAUGACGAAGCCCUUGUGGUGACGGUAGUGGUAGAAGAAGCACCGGCUAACUACGUG
RNAcentral lists this ribosomal RNA (469 nucleotides) under uncultured bacterium. RNAcentral describes it as "partial 16S ribosomal RNA". It matches the Rfam family "Bacterial small subunit ribosomal RNA", at positions 28 to 507 of the family's 1533-position model. The record is from RNAcentral.